AACGAACGCUGGCGGCAUGCCUAACACAUGCAAGUCGAACGAGACCUUCGGGUCUAGUGGCGCACGGGUGCGUAACGCGUGGGAACCUGCCCUUAGGUUCGGAAUAACUCCCCGAAAGGGGUGCUAAUACCGGAUAAUGUCUUCGGACCAAAGAUUUAUCGCCUUUGGAUGGGCCCGCGUUGGAUUCGCUAGUUGGUAGGGUAAAAGCCUACCAAGGCGACGAUCCAUAGCUGGUCUGAGAGGAUGAUCAGCCACACUGGGACUGAGACACGGCCCAGACUCCUACGGGAGGCAGCAGUGGGGAAUAUUGGACAAUGGGCGAAAGCCUGAUCAAGCAAUGCCGCGUGAGUGAUGAAGGCCGUAGGGUUGUAAAGCUCUUUUACCCGGGAUGAUAAUGACAGUACCGGGAGAAUAAGCUCCGGCUAACUCCGUG
This 433-nucleotide ribosomal RNA is filed under the name uncultured bacterium. RNAcentral describes it as "partial 16S ribosomal RNA". It matches the Rfam family "Bacterial small subunit ribosomal RNA", at positions 29 to 507 of the family's 1533-position model. The record is from RNAcentral.